GAUGAAGAACGUAGCGAAAUGCGAUAAGUAGUGUGAAUUGCAGAAUUCAGUGAAUCAUCGAAUCUUUGAACGCACAUUGCGCCCCUCGGUAUUCCGUGGGGCAUGCCUGUUCGAGCGUCAUUUAACCCCUCAAGCCUAGCUUGGUAUUGGGUGCUUGUCCCGCCUCUCGCGCGGCGACUCACCUCAAAGUCAUUGGCAGCCCGCAUCUCGCCGGCCGUGAGCGCAGCACAGACGCGCUCUUGGCAAAGACGGAUCGGCUCUCCAAAAGCUUAUUUCAACCACUGACCUCGGAUCAGGUAGGGAUACCCGCUGAACUUAAGCAUAUCAAUAAGCGGAGGA
This 339-nucleotide unclassified non-coding RNA is filed under the name soil metagenome. RNAcentral describes it as "partial contains 5.8S ribosomal RNA, internal transcribed spacer 2, and large subunit ribosomal RNA". The stretch from base 1 to 120 matches the Rfam family "5.8S ribosomal RNA", at positions 35 to 154 of the family's 154-position model. The record is from RNAcentral.